RNAcentral lists this ribosomal RNA (301 nucleotides) under uncultured bacterium. RNAcentral's name for it is "partial 16S ribosomal RNA". It matches the Rfam family "Bacterial small subunit ribosomal RNA", at positions 509 to 807 of the family's 1533-position model. The record is from RNAcentral.
CAGCAGCCGCGGUAAUACGAAGGGUGCAAGCGUUACUCGGAAUUACUGGGCGUAAAGCGUACGUAGGUGGUGGUUUAAGUCCGUUGUGAAAGCCCUGGGCUCAACCUGGGAAUUGCAGUGGAUACUGGAUCACUAGAGUGUGGUAGAGGAUUGUGGAAUUUCCGGUGUAGCAGUGAAAUGCGUAGAGAUCGGAAGGAACAUCUGUGGCGAAGGCGACUAUCUGGGCCAACACUGACACUGAGGCACGAAAGCGUGGGGAGCAAACAGGAUUAGAUACCCCUGUAGUCCCUGUCUCUUAUAC